UGAGUACGAGCUGCUACGGCAGCGAAGUGGGUGAUGUCAAGCUUCCAAGAAAAGCCCUAUACCCGUUAAGGCAUGACGGCCUGUACCCGAAACCGACACAGGUGGGGUGGUAGAGAAUACCGAGGGGCGCGAGAUAACUCUCUCUAAGGAACUCGGCAAAAUGGCCCCGUAACUUCGGGAGAAGGGGUGCCACCGCAAGGUGGUCGCAGUGAAGAGGCCCAGGCGACUGUUUACCAAAAACACAGGUCUCCGCUAAGUCGCAAGACGAUGUAUGGGGGCUGACGCCUGCCCAGUGCCGGAAGGUUAAGGAAGCUGGUCAGCGCAAGCGAAGCUAGCGACUGAAGCCCCGGUGAACGGCGGCCGUAACUAUAACGGUCCUAAGGUAGCGAAACUCCUUGUCGGGUAAGUUCCGACCCGCACGAAAGGCGUAACGAUCUGGGCGCUGUCUCGGAGAGAGGCUCGGCGAAAUAGAAUUGUCUGUGAAGAUGCGGACUACGUGCACCCGGACAGAAAGACCCUAUGAAGCUUUACUGUAGCUUGGUUAUGUGCCCGGUCUCUGAAUGCGCAGGAUAGGUGGGAGGCUUUGAUCCAUGGCUUGCGGGUCAUGGUGAGCCAACGGUGAGAUACCACUCCUUCAGAGCUAGGGUUCUAACAGCCACCCGUUAUCCGGGGGCUGGACAGUAUCAGGUGGGCAGUUUGACUGGGGCGGUCGCCUCCUAAAAGGUAACGGAGGCGCGCAAAGGUUUGCUCAGGCUGGUUGGAAAUCAGCCGACGAGUGCAAAAGCAGAAGCAAGCUUGACUGUGAGACCAACAAGUCGAACAGGGACGAAAGUCGGCUUUAGUGAUCCGACGGUUCUGAGUGGAAGGGCCGUCGCUCAACGGAUAAAAGUUACUCUAGGAUAACAGGCUGAUCUCCCCCAAGAGUUCACAUCGACGGGGAGGUUUGGCACCUCGAUGUCGGCUCAUCGCAUCUGGGGCUGAAGUCGGUCCCAAGGGUUGGGCUGUUCGCCCAUUAAAGCGGUACGCGAGCUGGGUUCAGAACGUCGUGAGACAGUUCGGUCCAUAUCCGGUGCAUGCGUAAGAACAUUGAGAGGAGUUCUCCCUAGUACGAGAGGACCGGGAGGAACGCACCUCUGGUGUACCAGUUAUCGUGCCAACGGUAAACGCUGGGUAGCCAUGUGCGGAGAGGAUAACCGCUGAAAGCAUCUAAGUGGGAAGCCCACCUCAAGAUGAGUGUUCUCAUGGCUUAAGCCAGUAAGGUCACGGGAAGAACACCCGUUGAUAGGCUCUACGUGGAAGCGCAGCAAUGUGUGAAGCGGAGGAGUACUAAUAGACCGAGGGCUCGACC
RNAcentral lists this ribosomal RNA (1348 nucleotides) under metagenome. RNAcentral's name for it is "bacterial LSU rRNA". It matches the Rfam family "Bacterial large subunit ribosomal RNA", at positions 1564 to 2925 of the family's 2925-position model. The record is from RNAcentral.